GACACCAUAGCCAAGUGGUUACGACGACAGAUUCGGAUAAACAGAAGCAGUGUGUUUCCCUUCGGGAGCGCAGGUUCGAAUCCUACUGGUGUCG
This 94-nucleotide transfer RNA is filed under the name Ganoderma leucocontextum. Its description in RNAcentral is "tRNA-Pro". It matches the Rfam family "tRNA". Rfam says of the family: Transfer RNA (tRNA) molecules are approximately 80 nucleotides in length. Their secondary structure includes four short double-helical elements and three loops (D, anti-codon, and T loops). The record is from RNAcentral. Lineage: Eukaryota; Fungi; Basidiomycota; Agaricomycetes; Polyporales; Polyporaceae.